GGGAAAUAGACACAUCAAACCUAAUAAAGGAAUAGAAUGAUUGUUACCACACAAUGCUCCCUGGUCUGGCAAAGGAACAAGUGGGAAAGGAGAAUUCAUUGCUGCCUGGUGACAUUAGGUGCCAUUGCCAAGGAGAAGGCAUUUGAGUUCAGCUUUUAGAGUUCUGAGGGAGUCAUUUAAAUAAGUGGGGGCCCUAAAGAACUGAAGACAUUCAAGACAAAAGUGUGACCACGAGCCAUGAUCUGGAAAUGCAGUCUGAGACACAGCUGGAGGUUUGAUUCAGUUCUAAUGUGACAGAUUUUGCCCACCCGAGGCUAAGAACCCAGCACACCCCUUCGUGAUGUUUUCCAAGCUGCCUCCAGCUCUCACUGCUUCUUCAAUGCUGUGUUCGCCUCCCUAUACGAACACGCAUGGCCAUACUGUCAUCUGAAUUAUAGGGCCUCAUCUUUCAGAAGGGCAAGAGCAUUGGGGUCGUCACUGCAACACCACGUGACAGACAAAAAAGUAGCACUGAAACAUAAAUUUAUGCCUGGAAGAAAACGAAGUCUCUUGACUCAACAAGGAGGCGUUGGCAAGCCCUGGAGUUGAAAGUGAGAGAUGUCUGCUGCUCUGGACUCCAGGAGACAGGAAGAAAAGAGCAAAAAUCAGCGGGGAGUUAUUUCAAAGUAGCACAUGCCAAGGUUGGUGCAUCCUGGGGCUAGGAGUCACAGGAACCGUCCCCUGCAGCCCGGUGAGCAAAAGCACACAGAUUUACUGGUCACCAGUUACGUGCGGGAAAUGACAACCAUCCCAUCCCACUCUGGGCAAGGACAGGAACUCCACCUUAGGGUGCACCUCUCCUUCGAAGAGGCGGCAGCAGCACACCAGUGGUGGGAUUGGGGGAGAGCACCCUGGCUGGGAGCUGAGCCACACUCAUGUAGCAGCAGCCUGGAGGAGAGCAGCUACAUAGCCAGAGCAGUCACAGAGGAGGUGAGUUACCCCGUCCAUAGGGGUGGGGUAUAACAGCUGCCGAACAAGCCACAGACCUUCUAGCUGGCAGGGAAACUGGGAAAGUCGGGCAUUUCUUGUUUCUUGUCUGUUUCAGAAGCAGCACGGUGCAAGGUCUGGCAGAGGAAAGCGGCUCACAUCAUGGUGGCCAGAAAAUGGAGAGAGAGAACAGAGGAACAAGGAGGGAAAUGCAGCCUCCCAGAGCAUGCCCACUAUGACCAGCCUGCCACCAGGCCCCACCUCUAACAGCAAGGCAUCUGUAGCACCCCAUAGUCCAGUCACAAUGGACUGAUUCAGUAUAGAAGGCUUUGGUGGGGGGCAUUCCAGAUGCAAACCACAACACUAUUGCCGUAAUUCCAGCUUAAAAUAGCGUACGAAUUCUGUGAUUCAAGUCAUGUUUAGAUGAAGGAGAUACUUCUAUGGACAGUUAUUUUAUUAUUAGAGGACAGGAAGACAUUUUCUUUUUUUUUUUUUUUGGUACUGGGGAAUUGAACUCGGGUCCUUGCUCUUGCAAGGCAGGCAGAGGUACCACUGAGCUAAACCCUGGCCCAGGAAGACAUUGUCACAGGAGCAUUGGCCUUGGGGUAAGAGGUUUACAGCCUUGAGUCUCAAUUACCACUGACUACCCAGGUAUCUUUGGAAAGCAAUUGACCUUAUGUGAAAGGUGCAUCAACAUACUUAUUUUCACUCUAGGUUUCAAUAUAAAAGAAACCAUGUAGGGCCGGGGAUUUAGCUCAGCGGUUCGGUGGCCUGCCUCACAAGCGCAAGGACCCGAGUUCAAUCCCGGUACUAAAAAGAAACAAAGAAACCAUGUGAUAGUUAAAUCCGUGUGUCUGAUUUAUUUCACUUAACAUUACAGUCUCAAGGUGCAUCUAUUUUUCUGCUUUACUAUGGAAAAACAAUUAGGCAAUCCUAUGACAGAAUAGUCUAUUCCUGUAGUUCCAAGGGCAGACGAUUUCAGGUAUCAUUUCCUCCAGCCAUUUUCCCCCAAAAGACAAUAUGAUCUUACAUAACCUUAUUGAAGCUAUUCUUUUGCCUCUGUUGUUAAUCUAUAUUUUCCUAUCGUGAAUACUUGAAAGUGGCUCUAACGGCAGAAUGUAUUUGUCUUCACGGA
This is a long non-coding RNA of Fukomys damarensis (Damara mole-rat), 2101 nucleotides long. NCBI's taxonomy places the organism in Eukaryota, Metazoa, Chordata, Mammalia, Rodentia, Bathyergidae. The record is from Ensembl.